UGGGGAAUUUUGGACGAUGGGCGAAAGCCUGAUCCAGCCACGCCGCGUGCAGGAUGAAGGCCUUCGGGUUGUAAACUGCUUUUGUACGGAACGAAAAGACUCUGGUUAAUACCUGGGGGUCCAUGACGGUACCGUAAGAAUAAGCACCGGCUAACUACGUGCCAGCAGCCGCGGUAAUACGUAGGGUGCAAGCGUUAAUCGGAAUUACUGGGCGUAAAGCGUGCGCAGGCGGUUAUAUAAGACAGAUGUGAAAUCCCCGGGGCUCAACCUGGGAACUGCAUUUGUGACUGUAUAGCUAGAGUACGGCAGAGGGGGGAUGGAAUUUCCGCGUGUAGCAGUGAAAUGCGUAGAUAUGCGGAGGAACACCGAUGGCGAAGGCAAUCCCCUGGGCCUGUACUGACGCUCAUGCACGAAAGCGUGGGGAGCAAACAGGAUUNGAUACCCUGGUAGUCCACGCCCUAAACGAUGCCAACUGGUUGUUGGGUCUUCACUGACUCAGUAACGAAGCUAACGCGUGAAGUUGACCGCCUGGGGGAGUA
This 539-nucleotide ribosomal RNA is filed under the name uncultured bacterium. RNAcentral describes it as "partial 16S ribosomal RNA". It matches the Rfam family "Bacterial small subunit ribosomal RNA", at positions 355 to 882 of the family's 1533-position model. The record is from RNAcentral.